GUUUUCAAUGUAAUAUUAUUAUUUAGCAGCAUUUUUAAAAAAUCUUAUGUCAUCCCAACAUGUUCCAAAAAUGCAGGAGUCAUUCUUAGUCCUAUUUUAAUCAAAUGCCACAGCAGAGAGGAACUAUUUUGCAAGGUAAAUACAUUCAAGAGGCUGAUCCAUUUUGCCCGAUUAGAAACCCUCCAGGGGCAAGUCUUUCAACCACUUGCAGGCUUGUUUAAAAAAAAAUCAGGAAAAUCAAGUUUUCCCAAUGAGAAAGCACCACAGACCUGUUCUAGGACUAAUAUUUGACAGGUCUCACUCCAGUGAAGGGCUUAUUUUCACCCUAAGAGCCACUCAGGCAGCUCGUUUUUGCACAUGCAUGACAGCAAAGAUUGCAAAGGUGAAGCCAUAUUUUAAUCACGUCCUCUCCAGGGUGUGAGUGUAUGCCUGGCGUGGGGGAGACAGAGGGUUGGUUAGCUAUGUUUGUUUCAGGGACAGACUCUCUGCAUGCUAACUGACCCUACAGCCCUAGAUGAUUUUGGGGGAAAUCCCCCCUGUUCUCUUUCAGUCAAACGCCCCAAACCCUUCUUCAGCACCUUUCCCUCUUCUCCCCCUCCCCUAUCGCCCCAUUCCCGCAUCCCUCCUUCCAGCCACAUGUCCACCUUCUCCCUCCCCCCAGCUAAGCGCUCUCCCGGCUCGCCACAUCCCCCACUUCCCUUCCUCCCUCAAACUAAUCAUCUGGACGCCCCCAACACAACGCCAGCCCCCCUCUCCUCAGCCAACAGCCAUUCUUCCCCUCCCCGCCACUGCUGGCACUGGGCACUUCCCCCACCCCGCAGUAGCAGCGGCGGCGCCGCACCCUAGUUAGCCUGCCCCUGCUGCGCCCGCGCGGCGGGGCGCGUUCGAUCAGCCCUGCGCCUAUGUUGCGCGCUCCCAUUUCCCUCCCUCCCUCCUCCUCCUUCUCCCCACCCUUGGCCGAACGAGACGAGCUGCGAGGGAGGGGCUGCUGCCACGCGCUCCCGCUGUGGUGGUAAUACAGCACUGGAUAUAUUUAAGAAACUUGAGCUAACAGCCUCCUGAUUUUAUUAGCGAGACAAGAGAGAGACACAGACAAGAAUGAGAACUUGCUAUUUAAGCACUGAGCCAUUGACAGGUGUCAAUCCACAUAAAAGGAACCAACUCUUCCUCUCCCUUCCUUGUCCUCAGUCUGCAAAGUUUUAACAAGUUAAUCUCUCAUCCAAUAUAAAUCCAAUCACACCUCUAACUGUCUUCGCUGCUCUUCUCCAAUCUCUGCUUUAUCUUUCUUGCGGGGAGCCAGUGACAACUGAGCUCAGUAAUCCAGAUGGUAAUGAACAAGAUUUCUUCGACGCUGGUGGCAGUAAAGGCAAAUUAAUGAAAGUUUUCUACAUAGUUCUUAAGAGCAAAAGUCUGCAAAGAUCUGAGGGAAGUUUGGCAGGCCUUCAUCCAUCUCCCAUAUGAGCCUGUACACACAUUAUUAUAAGAAUAACUGGAUUCUUUGAGAAGGCCACCUAAAUCAGAAAGACCAGAAGCUACCGACCCGAGCAAGAACUCCAAUGAUUGCCCUGGACUGCCUCCAAAACGGACUGAUCUGCCAGCUUCCUGAUGGCUCGUGCACCCUUGACUACUGCUAUGGAUCAUCCCCUUAGCCUCGGCCACCAAGCAUUACACCCAUCCAACUAUUAAGUCUCUGGGACUGCUUCCUCUCUUCCUGCUACAAGGCCAUUUGUUUAUUCAAAGAUCCCUGGAAUGGGUUCUUCUGGCCCUCUCUGGCAUUAAUAGCCAGUAUACCCUUUUACAGGGAGAAUUUAAACACUACUCUAGAGUGUCAUAAACAUAAACACAAAAGCAUUGUGUUAGAGCAUGAGAAUGAGAAAGUGAAACUGACACAAACCAGGGAAGUGAAACUUUCAGUCUACUAUCAUUAUCAAAGCUGAGUAAAAUGUAAAAAAGUAAGUGGUAUUCAUUCACUUUUAGUAUUCUAAGACAGCAGUUUAACAACUAUGGUUUGUGAAUCACUGACUGCAUGGUGCUGGUGCUCCUUGUUUCCAGUUUUUAAAUUGCAUUAAAAGACAGUUAAACAUAGCAAAUGAUUUUCUAAUAUUAAAUGUCUGUGUAAGCAAAUUGCUGUAGUUCCACAGGGAUGUCAUGCUGGAGUGAACUGAAGAGGAGGUGGUCUGUAUAGUCAUGAAUGGCCGAGAAGUGAUCUCUCAAUUUAAGAUGUGGUUCACAUUGCAAACUAAUUUGAAGAUAGCAGAUCCAAAUUGUUAUAAAUGAUAGCAGGCAAGUAUCUUAUUAUUUUGCUGUAAAUAUGUUUCUUAUUUUGUACAGAGGAUGAAAUGCCCAAGAAAAAUACUUAUCUGAUGAACUUAUCAUAAUUGAAAAUUAAGAGAAAUAACCUAUUAUUUUUAAUGUUAAAAAUUAGAUAGACAUGUAUAAUAUUACAGCUGCAACCUUCCAGUCAGUUCCAUUUGGUAUUAUUGCGUUUAAACAGAUUCAUGGGCACAGUGUGCCAGUCUGGGGAGCAAUUACAACUAUUUGAUUUUUAUCAAAACAUUUAUAUUGAAUAAUUAUUUUUUUACGUUUAAUUAACAACACAUAAAAAGCUUGAUAUUUUAAUAAAACAUCAACAUUUUGCACUGCAAUGCAUUAGGUCCUGUUCAACUGCCAAGUAAACAGUGAAUGUGUACAGUGUGGCAACUGUUUGACAUGUCAGUUGUUUAAUCAUUAGAGCUAGACAAAUACUGCAAACUAUUUUUCUGUGAAUAUUUGCUUGAAUUUAAUGCUCAUGCCCCUUUUGUACUUACUUUCAACAAAGACUUGAGCAAAUAGGCUUUACUUGUACAAAUAUUAAUGGAGGGUGAAAUUCUAUCCUGUGCAGAGAAGCAAUGCAAAGUCCUAUUUGGGUGCAAAAAGUGGUGUAUAUGCCUCUUGGGUUGGCUCUCUGCACAAAGGUGGAUUUCACCAGAAAUAUAAAUGGUCUGGACAAAGAUACAGUGUGACCAUGCUUUUCACAAUUAGGACCACACACAUGUAAUCAUUUUGUGUCAAUCACUGUGGUGAUGAGAGAAAUUUGCAGACCAAUGAAUACAGUAAACUAGGUAUAUUUUAGUUGGGAUGAUACCUGGUGCAGUACACUAGGGGCAAUUAAAUGAACCAGACGAGGUUCUGACUGUACCUUUCUCAGUGGCUUAUAUACACAUGAAAGAAAAUUAAACUUGAGCUCAGUUUCCAGCCAAUACAUUUGACAGAAAGCUAUUUUUUUUUACAAGUGUGAUGCCUUGGGAAAGAUCUGUGUGUUUAAGAAAGAAAAAUAAAAUAAAAAGUUCUAAAUUCCCUAAUCCUAUUUAUCUGCUAUUACUCCCUAAGAGUCUCAAAAGCCAUUGAAAGUGCUAUGCUCAUCCAGGCAGGGGGCAGAUAUAACACCAUCUGACUAAUCUGACCAAUCACAGUUAAACCGUGAUGUUCAUAUUUCUACUCUCCUCGUCUAUCCUCGUCCAAAACUGUUUGUAAUCAAUCUGAAGAGAAAUUAAGUAUGGAAAAACUGAGGUGAAUAAAUUCAAGAAAAUCUGGAUCUGCUCUUGGGCAUUCUGUAAGCAUUAAAAGUGGUUAGUUUAGUUUAAUACAUCGUUAACUGUCUAUUCAUCUCAGUCUAGUGAUUACUAACAAUUACAUUAAAUAUUGAAGUGUUUUAAACAGGUGAUGAGAGUUAUAGUAUUAAUUUCACAAGUGUCCAACCACCACUUUUGUGUUAGAUUCCCACGGGGAGUGGUAGAAGACCCAACACUUAAUUUAAACCUAUGCUGGACAAUGUACUUAAUGAUGUAUGGUCUGUUUAUAUUUAAUCCCUUAUAUUUAAGUGACCGAAAUUAAAUUCCAGAAUAAAUGUUUGAAUGAUAAUAAGCAAUUGAUUGAAACAGACAAAAGGCAAGGAAUCUAAUGGAAGGCUAAUGCUUCUCCAGGAGUUCAUAACGUUCUGUGGGAGGUGAAAAGGGAGAAGUGGGGAAAAGGGAAAAAAUAAGAGGAACUAUGAUGUGAGGCCCCAAUCUUGGAAUUUCCCAUUAACUUUUCUCACUGAGAAGCAAACUUUAGCAUUAUUUAUUUGUAACUUUUUAUAAUUUCCCCUUUCUGAGGGAAAAUAAAAGAAAAUAUUCACAAGAAAGAUUUUAAAAUUUCAUACUUUUAUCUAUUGCCUUCCAAUUUAUGGUCUCUUGGGCAAACGGGCAGUUUUUCAAAACAUGUAUCAUGUCUCUGACAGACUGGAACAGCUUGCAGUCUUUCCAGUCUAGUGGUUUAAAUCUCUUUUUUUUGUGUGUGGUAUCUAUAUCUAUAUCCUCUAUAUCGAUAUUAAGUCAUAUUAUUUAAGUCCUAGACUGGAGAGGGUUCUGAUUUAUCAUGCAUUUAGAUGUUUAGCUAAAGUGUGACAGUGUUGCAAGCAAAAAAUUUUCAGCAAACAUGUCAAUAACAUUUACUGCAAAUGUGCAGUAGCCAAUUGUUAACUUGCAAUAUCUUUGGCUCUGCAGUAAUAAUUAAUAAAACACCAAAUGCAAAUUGGCCAUGUUAUGAAUGAACUGCUUGUUAAAUUUCAUUUCCUGCAUCAAAGUAAUUAUAUCAAUACAAACUCAAUAUCUGAAACACUUUUUUUUUAGUGCAUGGGUAAAAAGGUCCAAAUGGAUUUUUCCACUAAAAUAUUCUUGUGUACAUGGGGAAAUUGACUGGCAUAACUAUAGUGGAAUAAGCUAUUCUACAGCAGAGGAAUUAUUCUGAAAUAAAGUCACUUUUUUGCCAGAAUAGAAUGUCCACACAGGGAGUUAUUCUGACACAGCUAUCACAGAAUAGUUUAUUUCGUUGUAACUAUCAUGGUCAAUAUUUGUGUCUAGACAAGUUACAAAGAAUAUGGUCUUGAGCUUUAACACUUCAUGCCAUGAUGUUGCCUAGAACAGUGGUUCUCAAACUUUUUUUUUUC
Molecule: long non-coding RNA, 4966 nt
Organism: Chrysemys picta bellii (western painted turtle)
Lineage: Eukaryota; Metazoa; Chordata; Testudines; Emydidae
Source: RefSeq, a predicted model, not a curated record